Molecule: transfer RNA, 74 nt
Filed under: Gammaproteobacteria bacterium RIFCSPHIGHO2_02_FULL_42_43
Lineage: Bacteria; Pseudomonadati; Pseudomonadota; Gammaproteobacteria
Also listed under: 3 other names
Description: tRNA-Val
Rfam family: tRNA
About the family: Transfer RNA (tRNA) molecules are approximately 80 nucleotides in length. Their secondary structure includes four short double-helical elements and three loops (D, anti-codon, and T loops).
Source: RNAcentral
AGGCACGUAGCUCAGUUGGUUAGAGUAUCACCUUGACAUGGUGGGGGUCGCUGGUUCGAGCCCAGUCGUGCCUA